RNAcentral lists this long non-coding RNA (1014 nucleotides) under Brassica rapa (field mustard). Its description in RNAcentral is "long non-coding RNA (BRAP_LNC005396)". The record is from RNAcentral. Lineage: Eukaryota; Viridiplantae; Streptophyta; Magnoliopsida; Brassicales; Brassicaceae.
CCGGCACAAAGUUUAACGAUAAAUAAGAUAUGUUUUCUUAUUAGGCACUUUUCUUUUCGGAUCAACUUUUUUUUUAUUUUGAUAUAAUUCUGCAGAACAACUUUAGUAUCAACAUGGCCCAGAUAGAAUUAAGCUACACAAUUUGUAUUAUAAAAUUUGGAAAGUUAAUUUCCACAUUGAUUGGGUGGUUAUCUAAUUGAUUAAUAUAUUUAGGUUUUUUUUUUUCUGUUCGAAUGGAUACCUUUAACUUAAUUCUAGUCGUAAAGAUGAAAGUACCACAGAAGCAGAGUGAUUAAUCUUAGAGUGGGCUUGCUCCAGUUAGGUCCAUUAGGGUGGCGAUUGGUUUUUCCGCUACCACCCGCAAACGCAGCUUUUGCGGUCGGUAGCGGUUGUCAGCGGUUUGCAACAAUCACUCAAAUCGCUCUAAACCGCUUCAAACCGCUCCGAAUCUCAUAAAUUCAAAAGCUGGCUCCAGCUAGCGUUUGCGGUUGCGGGAGGGUAAAAAUUUUUUUUUUUUAAAACAAUAUAUAUACAAAGAAAAAAAUAUUUAAUAAAAAAUUUAAAAUUGAAAUUAUGAAAAUAUUAAAAUAUAUCUAUUUUAUUUUAAUUAAUAUUAUAAAAUUUUAUAAUAAAAAAAAUUUCAAUAAAUUUUCAAAAAUUAAAAUUAUAACUUUCUAAAUAUAAAUUUUAUAUUUAUUAUAAUUUUGUGAUUUUUGAUAUUUUUAUAAUUAUAUUAAAUGUAAAUAUUGUUAAUUUAUUAUUUGACUGUUACCGCAUUUGGUAGUUAACCAGUCAUAAGUCAUCCGCAAACGCACCAAUUUUUAACCGCAGUACCAGUCGUACAAAUCUCUUAAAACCGCUAGAAACCGCAACCGCCCGCAUCCACAAACUCUCGCAACCGCAGCCGCUGCGUUUGAACCAGUCAGGCCCUAAGUUACAUCUGAUGAUAACGCACGCGAUACCACUGGUUGUCACGUUGCGUAACCCUGACCAUUGAUUGUUGAAAUGUCACCA